GUCUUUGUUCAAAGAAAAUCUGGGCAAGUUACUUGAUUGGUUAAAUCCAAUAAGUAACACAAUUGCUAUCAUGGGAGAUUUCAAUGAUAAUAAUUUAAAUUCUUCAACUAUCUGCAAGUUUAUGACCAACAAAGGGUUUGCCCAAAAUGUCUCACAAUCCACAACAGAGAAAGGCACAUUAAUUGAUCAUGUGUAUGUUAAAACACCACAUUAUAAUGUAGAAUCAACAGUGUUGCCAACAUAUUUCAGUGACCGUGAGGGGAUUGUAUGUUCUUUCACAUCUAAGUGUUAAAUCAAAGUUCAGAGAAAGGUUAGGGGAGCACAUUAGUGUAUUUUAUUGUUUCCAGAGAUAUUGUAUCACCAGCACAGCAUCAUUAGAGAUGAGGGUCGAAGGAGUGAGUCUGAUCUGUUCAGUGCCAUUUUGCGUGUUUUGUGACUCAUCUAUUGUAUUUAUUUAACUUUUAUAGCUUACUAUCAUUGCAUGUGUCCUGUAUGAGUUAUUGUAUAUUAUGAAUUUGUGUCCGGUAAAAAAAAAAAAAAAACGGGGUUGUUUUCCUUACAGCAUAUCAUUACAACGGCACUUUUCAAGCAUUCUCAUUUUACCACUCCUUGUAUUGUAACUCACUUGUCUCUAACAAGUGCCUUUUAAUGUCCAUUACAGAAAUUUUCCUUGCUACAUCCAGCCUUAUCUGUCAGGGCCAUGCAGUUUUCCCACUUUGUCUCACUGUAUUUGUUUCUCAUACUCCUAGUUCCCGACUCUGCUCACCCCACACACACCUUCCUGCAAUCGGCUCAUCGCCCCUCCCAGCCUACACACAUACCACCAUCAGUUCAUCAGCUUUGCAGUACUACGGAUCUUCACCCAUCCAGUGACAGAUUGUUAAAACGGAUCUUUCCUUGUCUGCUUGACUACAGUGCUCUUCAUCCUCAUGCCAUUCCUGCCUGUCCAUGCCAUUCACCAUCUGUGUUCUACUACCAGCCAUCUUCUGCAAAUAAAUCUCACCUUUUAUA
Long non-coding RNA from Micropterus dolomieu (smallmouth bass), 1011 nucleotides. RefSeq lists it as uncharacterized. Lineage: Eukaryota; Metazoa; Chordata; Actinopteri; Centrarchiformes; Centrarchidae. The transcript is spliced from 2 exons. The record is from RefSeq and is a predicted model, not a curated record.